UUCUCUCUCCGCGGGGAUUUAUUUUCGGUCGCUCGUUCGACGCCUGUGCAGCUGCUGCGCGAAGCGAAGCGAAGCGGGAUGAGGCGGUGCGAGGCGAGGCGAGGCGAGGCGAGGCGAGGCGAGCUAUGGUGAAGCCGCGAAACUACCCGCGUGUAGAAGACGAGUCACAAAGCUGAAAACGCUGGCGCGUUUCUUUAACGCGUAAUUUUGCACAGUGGAGAUCGUCUAAUAAAGGCUUGCUACCGCGUCUCGCCCGUCCCAUUAAUCUUAUUAUUGCGUUGUUAUUGUAUCAUUAAUGCAACCGCAUGUAGUUUUGUAUUUUUAUUUUUGGAAAUGAAGGCGUAAAUAAAAUGACGGUUGCGAAAUAACGUCAGAAUUGAGGCUGCCUGACGUUAUGAUUUGACAAAAGUGACGCUGGCUAACAAUAAACUGUUCUCGUUUUCCCUCUCUACGCGUCGUCGUUGUUUGAAACCCCUACGUUUACUGCGGUCGAUUAAAAGUUGAUUAUGAAAAAUUUAUCCGUUUAACUCGUUUGUUUUAUUUAAGAAUAAGAGAAGGCGGCAGACGAAUGUACGCACAGAUACAUAACAUUGGUUGCACCCCAGUUGUUGCGUUCUACUUUGCUCCACCGCCCAUUUCAUUUCUCUUUCCGGAUGGAAAAGCUUUCGCAGCCUUCUUUUUGCGGAUUGCAAACACGUCCGAAAACGACACAUUUUAAUUUUUUGGUGAAUGGAACCGAGAACUUUAAAACUAAAGACAAUACAAAUUUUCCAUUUUAUACAUACUAACGUCUAACUUGUGGUAUUUCUCUUCUAUUCCAUCUUUGUGCCAAUUUUUCUGCUCUCUUUCUUCACACACACUAUUUGAUCUUCUCUUAUUCCGUUCAUUGUCCUAGUCUAAAAGCAUUGUCUUUGCUAUUUCUAUAUUCUCUCCCUUCCUCCUAAUUCCUAUUCCUCGCUUCUCUCUCUCUCUCUCUCUCUCUCUCUCUCUCUUUCUAUUCACACAUACACUGCUUCAUUGCGUUCUUGUAAAUUUUUCUGUACAUUAUUCACUAUUGUAAUUAUUUUAAAAGUCGCAGCGCUUAUAAGAAAAUCUAGUCCUCCAAGAAAUAAUUCUAUUUUAGUCUUUGUAGUACGUAACAAUAAUUCAUAUUCUGAGAAUUUAUAUCGGGCAUUUCCAUUGUAGUAUCAGGUAACUGUGUAAUUGUAUAUCGCCGCGAGAACGUAAGAUUUGUAAAUAACGCGGGAACCUGUAGCGCGACCGAAAUAGUUCACGCGUAAGAAAGUUUAGAUUUCCUUGAAACAUACCGCGAAACGCAGAUCGCCGUAUAUCCGUGCUGAACUAUCCGCUGACGUCGCUAUUCAAAUAAACGCUUGAACGUCUAUGCGAAUAAUGGCAGCGCUAACACAAACACGUCGACGACUUAGUGAGCAACGCCGAUUGGUUCCGACAAGCGCGACGAAGUAAACGCACCGUGAACGCAAUGCAUUCGGCGUGCACGCCUUUAUAAUCCUUUUUCCAAGUUUAAUUAUACCAGGAUAUCUAAUAUUGGAAGGAGGUAUCAAAAACACGAUGGCACGAGAUCAAAUUUGCGAAUUCUUAGAAACUAAAGAGUACGCUUCGAAUUUUAGCACACUUUUAGCGAUACAUUUUGCUACAAUGUAUCUCGUUUCCCGAAUAAAUUAUAAAAAUAUAUUGUUUAAGAGCAAUUCUUUAAUUUUUGAAUUUCAUGUAUUAAAAGUGUAUGAUGCAAAUUUGUAAGUUGUGACUCUUCUUAGACCAAAUUAAAUCAGUAUAGUGAUAUUGCUGUUUGCACAA
This is a long non-coding RNA of Acromyrmex echinatior (Panamanian leafcutter ant), 1818 nucleotides long. RefSeq lists it as uncharacterized. NCBI's taxonomy places the organism in Eukaryota, Metazoa, Arthropoda, Insecta, Hymenoptera, Formicidae. The record is from RefSeq and is a predicted model, not a curated record.